RNAcentral lists this small RNA (716 nucleotides) under Pongo abelii (Sumatran orangutan). RNAcentral's name for it is "retained intron". Lineage: Eukaryota; Metazoa; Chordata; Mammalia; Primates; Hominidae. The record is from RNAcentral.
CGGAAACGGAGGUUGCAGUGAGCUGAGACCACGCUGUUGCACUCCAGCCUGGGUGACAGAGUGAGACUGUGUCUCAAAAAAAAAAAAAAAAGUGGUCAUACAAAUGUGAGUGAGUAGCCAAAGAUCUAGUUAACUGUAAUGAUCCAAACUCCUCUUUCAUUCAAAUAGAUCCCACCAAAUAUUUUGGUUGUGAGCUGGGAGCACAGACCCAGUUUGAUGUUAAGAAUGACCGUUACAUUGUCAAUGGAUCUCAUGAGGCGAAUAAGCUGCAAGACAUGUUGGAUGGAUUCAUUAAAAAAUUUGUUCUCUGUCCUGAAUGUGAGAAUCCUGAAACAGAUUUGCAUGUCAAUCCAAAGAAGCAAACAAUAGGUAAUUCUUGUAAAGCCUGUGGCUAUCGAGGCAUGCUUGACACACAUCAUAAACUCUGCACAUUCAUUCUCAAAAACCCACCUGAGAAUAGUGACAGUGGUACAGGAAAGAAAGAAAAAGAAAAGAAAAAUAGAAAGGGCAAAGACAAGGAAAAUGGCUCCGUAUCCAGCAGUGAGACACCACCACCACCACCACCACCAAAUGAAAUUAGUCCUCCUCCACAUACAAUGGAAGAAGAGGAGGAUGAUGACUGGGGAGAAGAUACAACUGAGGAAGCUCAAAGGCGUCGAAUGGAUGAAAUCAGUGACCAUGCAAAAGUUCUGACACUCAGUGAUGAUUUGGAAAGA